RNAcentral lists this ribosomal RNA (253 nucleotides) under uncultured bacterium. RNAcentral's name for it is "partial 16S ribosomal RNA". It matches the Rfam family "Bacterial small subunit ribosomal RNA", at positions 524 to 776 of the family's 1533-position model. The record is from RNAcentral.
UACGGGGGGGGCAAGCGUUGUUCGGAAUUACUGGACGUAAAGGGCUCGUAGGCGGCCAACUAAGUCAGACGUGAAAUCCCUCGGCUUAACCGGGGAACUGCGUCUGAUACUGGAUGGCUUGAGUUUGGGAGAGGGAUGCGGAAUUCCAGGUGUAGCGGUGAAAUGCGCAGAUAUCAGGAGGAACACCGGUGGCGAAGGCGGGUCUCUGGGCCGAUACUGACGCUGAGGAGCGAAAGCGUGGGGAGCGAACAGG